RNAcentral lists this unclassified non-coding RNA (155 nucleotides) under soil metagenome. RNAcentral describes it as "partial internal transcribed spacer 1". The record is from RNAcentral.
UAAUAAGUGUUUUAUGGCACUUUUUAAAUCCAUAUCCACCUUGUGUGCAAUGUCAGUCGGUUUCUUUCGUCAAUGAAAAGGAUUGACCAAACAUCAACCUUAUUCUAAUUGAACUCUUUGUCUGAAAAAUAUUAUGAAUAAACUAAUUCAAAAUA